RNAcentral lists this ribosomal RNA (462 nucleotides) under uncultured bacterium. RNAcentral's name for it is "partial 16S ribosomal RNA". It matches the Rfam family "Bacterial small subunit ribosomal RNA", at positions 338 to 795 of the family's 1533-position model. The record is from RNAcentral.
CCUACGGGAGGCAGCAGUGAGGAAUAUUGGUCAAUGGACGCAAGUCUGAACCAGCCAAGUAGCGUGCAGGAUGACUGCCCUCCGGGUUGUAAACUUCUUUUAUCUGGGAGUAAAACGGGCCACGUGUGCCCCGUAUUGUAUUUACCAUCAGAAAAAGGACCGGCUACUGCCGGGCCAGCAGCCGCGGUAAUACGGAAGGUCCGGGCGUUAUCCGGAUUUUUUGGGUUUAAAGGGAGCGUAGGCCGGAUUUUAAGUACGCUGGGAAUGGCGGGGGAUCAACCAUGGAAUUGCAGCUCAAACUGGCGGGCUUGAGUGCGAGGAGGGAAGGCGGAAUUCGUGGUGUAGCGGUGAAAUGCUUAGAUAGCACGAAGAACUCCGAUUGCGAAGGCAGGAGACGGCAGCGCUACUGACGCUGAGGCUCGAAGGUGCGGGUAUCGAACAGGAUUAGAUACCCGGGUAGUC